CCUGCCCCGCCUGGUCGGGCACACUUGGGCUCAAGCUCGAGCUGGCUAAUAGACCCUCGUGCGCUUGCAUCGGUGUCGGCUCCUUGGUGGUUUCUCGGAUUCGCAAUCUUGGGCACGACAUUUAGGGGCUCGUCCGGGAUCCGAGAGACCCCAGGACCCCACCCGGAGGGUCCCACGCCUGGACCUCCCAAGAUUCUAGCCCAGCGAAAGGCCGAGAAGGCGACCGACUCUACGACCCAAGCGCCCCUUUAUCCGGUCGUGCAGGAUUCCUCCCCCAGGACCUGAUCCUCCCGCCGCCCUGCCGGAGGCGCCGGGGGCUGCAGACGGGGCGCCCCUCCCUGGCGGGUCCCGGAGCGCGGGCGGCCCCGCCCCCGACGGGCCCCGAGAGCGACCGAGGUCCUGGCCGUUCUCCAGCAGUGAUUCAUGUAAUAGAAGAACCCAAAAUGCAAAGUGCUCGGAAAACCCGAAGAUCUAGUCGGGCUUUUAGAUGCUGUUAGGAAGUAAGUCCCGGGGUCGCUGCACCCGCGCCGGCCAGCUGACCCCCGAGGCGGCCCGCCGAGGACCAUCCCCUAAAGCUAGGGCUGCGUCGCUCCCACUUACCCGCUAACAUCACCUGCGCUGUAGCCCCUCGCGGCUGAAACUAACCCCCACUCACCAAAAUCUGACGUGGAUAGUUCAUAACGCAGCCACGGGAGAAAUCUACCCCGAUCCUGCUGGCUGUGCUAUGACACCCGACCCCCCUUCUACCCUAAUGCUUGCAGGUGGAGCCAAAAUCCCGGUAGCAAAGGCCUCACCUUACAAUCUGUGUCAGGCCAGGGGCCCUGCCUAGGCCUCCAGGCCACUACCGGGUCCUGUGCGAUGGCAGGCGGCCUAUACACAGGACCGGUGUCAUUACCGCCCCAAGACAGCUGGGGCCUGCUCGAGGGAUUAACUCCCUGCACUCAGGGACAGGUUAUGAACAGAACUGGGGGCUUCUGCGUGCUGGUUCAACUACUUCCUAGAAUCAUCUGUUGUUCAGAGGAGCAGGCACUUCAAUGGAUGGACCCCCCACGGGCGAAAUAAACGAGAGCCCAUCUCUGCUGUCACCACCGCCACCCUACUAGGAAUUGGUUUGGCUGGCGCAGGAAGAGGUAUUGCCUCACUGGCCACCCAGGCUUUCCACUACAGUAACCUUGGGGCUGCCAUUGAUGUAGAAAUAGAGCAGAGAGACCUCCACUUCCCACCUCCAAGAAUCCCUAACAUCUUUAUCUGAAGUGGUGCUCCAAAACAGGAGGGGCUUAGACCUAAUUUUUCUGCAGCAAGGGGGAGUCUGCUGCCCUGGACGGAGUGCUGUUUCUGCACUGACCACUCAGGGAUGGGCAGAGAAUCCAUGGCAAAGGUCAGGGAAGGAUUGUCCAGGCAAAAAGGAGAGUGAGAGCAAGAUCAGCAACAGGAGUGGUUCGAAUCCUGGUUUGAUCAUUCCCCCUGGCUAACUACCUUGUUGUCCUCCCUAGCCGGCCCACUUAUCAUCCUCCUCCUGACCUUUGACCCUGCUUCAUUAAUAAACUAGUGGCUUUUGUCAGGGAUGGGGUUAACCCCGUUCAACUCUUGGUGCUAAGGCAACAAUACCAACCACUGAACUUUCAGGACCCAUGACUGGGUCCUGCAUUGGGUUCCUCUGAAAAGGGGAGGAAUGUGGGACCCAAGAAAUUCAGAAAAUGUCACCCACCCGGCUCCUAGAUAAGCAACAACUGCGGCUGUAGCCCAAUUCAGCUCCAAGGAAAACCGCAGAGCACACCCUUAUCGGAAUGAGGAACUAAGAACUUGAGAAACUCCCCCCACCCCUCUGGAAACCCCCUGCCUCCGCUCUGGGGCUAUCCGUUAGGGGUGUGGUCUGUGGUCAGAGGGAAGUGAAGGGCAAGCCCUUGGCGGAAGGUCCAUGGCUGGAACGAGGAACCAAGACCCCUAGAGCAGCCCAUAAAAAUCCAGCUGUAACCCACCUAGGGGUCCAAGUCCCUGCCCCACUGAUGGGCAUACUUGGACCCAAGCUCGAGCUUGCUAAUAAGCCCUCGUGUGCUUGCAUCAGUGUUGGCUCCUUGGUGGUUUCUCGGAUUCAAAAUCUUGGGCACAACAACUCCAUUCUUCUCUUCCUAAUACCCUUUCAUUGACCCCAUACAUAAAUGGAUGAUAAUACCUCUGUAUUGGUCAACUAUUUUUAUAUAACAAAUCACCCCAAACUCUACAAUUUAGAACAACUGUAGAAAAAGUCAUUUAUGAUUCCUCAUGGGUCUGUGGAUCCACACAUCUCGACUGGGCUCUCCUGGGCAGCUCUGCUUUUCUUGUGGCAGCAUUCAAUCUUGAAUACAUAUGGACUGUCAUGACCAUUUAAAAUUUGGUAUGCCCAGAAUAACCAGGAGGAAAGUUGUCUCCCUCAAAGUGUUUUGUAUGCUUUUUAUUAUUUUCUUCUUGGAAUACCUAUUUUCUCUAACUCAUUCUUCAAGAUGCAGCUCAAAUGUCAAAUAUCCUGAGAAAUUUAUUAGCCAGGCUGGGGCUCCUUCCUCUGGACUCCAGCAGCACAACAUUCAUAGUUAUAUUGCUAUUAUCUAUUGCUUAUAUAGAUAGAUGGGUAGAUAGAUCCCCUAGGCUGUGAAUUCCUUGAGGGCAAGGGCCAGAGACUUUUAACCUUAUGUCCCAGCUGUGGUGCCUAAAAUCCAGAAGGUGUCCAAUAAACUUAUAACAAACCUCUCGUA
Molecule: long non-coding RNA, 2729 nt
Organism: Canis lupus familiaris (dog)
Lineage: Eukaryota; Metazoa; Chordata; Mammalia; Carnivora; Canidae
Exons: 2
Source: RefSeq, a predicted model, not a curated record